GGCGGCAUGGCCAAGUGGUAAGGCAGGGGACUGCAAAUCCUUUAUCCCCAGUUCGAAUCUGGGUGUCGCCUGAUCAACAAA
This 81-nucleotide transfer RNA is filed under the name Arundina graminifolia. RNAcentral describes it as "tRNA-Cys". The stretch from base 1 to 71 matches the Rfam family "tRNA". Rfam says of the family: Transfer RNA (tRNA) molecules are approximately 80 nucleotides in length. The record is from RNAcentral. RNAcentral also lists the same sequence under 4 other names. Lineage: Eukaryota; Viridiplantae; Streptophyta; Magnoliopsida; Asparagales; Orchidaceae.